This is a non-coding RNA of Rhineura floridana, 66 nucleotides long. The record is from the annotation of a RefSeq genome assembly. Lineage: Eukaryota; Metazoa; Chordata; Lepidosauria; Squamata; Rhineuridae.
GAGCUCAAUGGAAAGAGCAUCUGCUUUGAAUGCAGAAGGUCCCAGGUUCAAUCCCUGGCAUCUCCA